Molecule: long non-coding RNA, 524 nt
Filed under: Olea europaea subsp. europaea
Lineage: Eukaryota; Viridiplantae; Streptophyta; Magnoliopsida; Lamiales; Oleaceae
Source: RNAcentral
GAAUUAGAAAAUUCAGGUGUGGAGGAACAUGAACAAACUGAAAUGGAUGACCCAGUCAACAAAGUGAUCUUAGUGACUAUCAAUUGACUAGGGAUAGGCCUAGAAGGAACAUAAGAGAACCUACAAGAUAUGAAGACUAUCUAUCCUAUUCUGUCAUGUCUUAUAAUGACCUAACCUAUAAGGAACCCAAGACCUAUAGUGAAGCCAUGAGUUGUAACCAGUCUGGCAAGUGGGAAGUUGCCAUGAGAGAAGAGAUGAGUUCUCUAAUGAAGAAUAAAACUUGGGAUCUUGUGCCUAGACCCAAAAAUAAAUCCAUAGUUGACUGUAAAUGGAUUUACAAGGUGAAAGAAGGCAGUUCAGAUAAUGAGCCUGUGAGAUUUAAAGCAAGAUUAGUUGCUAAAGGGUUUACACAAAAACAGGGUGUAGAUUACAAUGAGAUAUUUUCACCCGUUGUAAAAUACACAACUAUAAGAGUCCUACUAGCAUUAGUUGCACAUCACAAUUGGGAAUUAGAACAAAUGGAU